This 74-nucleotide transfer RNA is filed under the name Cricetulus griseus (Chinese hamster). It matches the Rfam family "tRNA". Rfam says of the family: Transfer RNA (tRNA) molecules are approximately 80 nucleotides in length. Their secondary structure includes four short double-helical elements and three loops (D, anti-codon, and T loops). The record is from Rfam by way of RNAcentral. Lineage: Eukaryota; Metazoa; Chordata; Mammalia; Rodentia; Cricetidae.
AGUGAGAUGGCUCAGUGUGUAAGAGUGCUUGUUGGUCAAGCAAGAUGACUUGAGUUCAAAUCUCCAUCACCCAC